UACGUAGGUGACAAGCGUUGUCCGGAUUUACUGGGCGUAAAGAGCGCGCAGGCGGUCGAUCAAGUCGAGUGUGAAAGCCCCCGGCUCAACUGGGGAGGGUCAUUCGAUACUGAUCGACUCGAAGGCAGGAGAGGGUAGUGGAAUUCCCGGUGUAGUGGUGAAAUGCGUAGAUAUCGGGAAGAACAUCAGUGGCGAAAGCGCUCUACUGGACCUUAUCUGACAUUGAGGGACGAAAGCUAGGGGAGCGAAUGGG
Molecule: ribosomal RNA, 253 nt
Filed under: uncultured bacterium
Lineage: Bacteria
Description: partial 16S ribosomal RNA
Rfam family: Bacterial small subunit ribosomal RNA
Source: RNAcentral